This is a long non-coding RNA of Ictalurus punctatus (channel catfish), 379 nucleotides long. NCBI's taxonomy places the organism in Eukaryota, Metazoa, Chordata, Actinopteri, Siluriformes, Ictaluridae. The record is from Ensembl.
CGCGAACACACUGAGUCAUAUGCACCAGAAUGUAAAGCUGUCUGUGGAAGAAACACAUCCUGAUCCAAGAUAUGUUCAGCUUCAGGAUGAGGAAGGUCAACAGACGCUUUUACAUCAGGAAAUUCAAGGGACCCUCAGUGUGCUAAGAUUCCCAGACCGUAAUGUGCAGUUAUCCGUGGAAGAAACGGUGCUGUGUUCUCAUCUAAGCUCCGUGCAGCCCUGGGUUCUGAAUGAAGAUGACGGAGGAAUGAUUUUGCACCACAUUCAACCACGCAGUUAGGCCUGUCGAUGUCACUGUCUAUACAAUUAUACAAUUAAAUUAUGUUUUUAAUAUAAAUCAGUUUUGUAUAUUUGUGAUAGAUAAAUAAAUGUAUAUAAC